This is an RNA transcript of Arabidopsis thaliana (thale cress), 243 nucleotides long. RefSeq lists it as uncharacterized. Lineage: Eukaryota; Viridiplantae; Streptophyta; Magnoliopsida; Brassicales; Brassicaceae. The transcript is spliced from 3 exons. The record is from RefSeq.
CCCUUCAGUUGUUACUUCUGACGAAUUUGAUUCUCUACUCUGAGAGGGAAGUUCUCAUGCUUGAUGCUUUGUUUGCCGGCUUAUACUAGAGCAUAAAGACCCUCCUUUCAAAGAGAAGUCUACUUGCAUUUGUCUCUGUUGCUCUCUUCUUUGGUUAUCCUUCUCUUGCUUUUAAGGCAAGAAUUGGAAGGAGCUUAUUGAUGUAUAAGACUCUGUUUUAAACACUUACUUAUCUUUGUUAAG